RNAcentral lists this ribosomal RNA (346 nucleotides) under uncultured Desulfuromonas sp. RNAcentral's name for it is "bacterial SSU rRNA". It matches the Rfam family "Bacterial small subunit ribosomal RNA", at positions 1034 to 1382 of the family's 1533-position model. The record is from RNAcentral. Lineage: Bacteria; Pseudomonadati; Thermodesulfobacteriota; Desulfuromonadia; Desulfuromonadales; Desulfuromonadaceae.
ACAGGUGCUGCAUGGCUGUCGUCAGCUCGUGCCGUGAGAUGUUGGGUUAAGUCCCGCAACGAGCGCAACCCUUGUCCUUAGUUGCCAGCAUUCAGUUGGGCACUCUAAGGAGACUGCCGGUGUUAGACCGGAGGAAGUGGGGAUGACGUCAAGUCCUCAUGGCCCUUAUGUCCAGGGCUACACACGUGCUACAAUGGCCGGUACAAAGGGCUGCAAGACCGUGAGGUUGAGCGAAUCCCAGAAAGCCGGUCUCAGUUCGGAUUGGAGUCUGCAACUCGACUCCAUGAAGUUGGAAUCGCUAGUAAUCGCGGAUCAGCAUGCCGCGGUGAAUACGUUCCCGGGCCUU